AGAUAUGAGGGUGAUCUGACUGCGACAACUGUCACCCCACUGAUCGCCAGGGUUGAUUCGGCUGAUCUGGCUGCCUAGGCAUGUGUCCCCUUCCUCCCUCACAUAUCCUCAUGGAUACGCUCCAUGCAUAUCCCUCCCAAAGCUGUGCCCUCAGUCCUAGAGGACAACCUUCCCCAAACAGAGACUGACUGGUCUUUGAUUGAAGGUAUACAAGUCCCUGAACUUCCCUGCUAGAACCUCCAAAGCUCUCAGAAAUAGAAUCAUACAUGAGAGAACAUCUCUGGUUUGCCCUGUUAUAUAUUUUUAAAAGUAAGUUUUUUUUUUUUAA
Molecule: small nuclear RNA, 328 nt
Filed under: Erinaceus europaeus (western European hedgehog)
Lineage: Eukaryota; Metazoa; Chordata; Mammalia; Eulipotyphla; Erinaceidae
Description: 7SK RNA
Rfam family: 7SK RNA
About the family: 7SK was discovered as an abundant small nuclear RNA in the mid-70s but a possible function has only recently been suggested.
Source: Rfam by way of RNAcentral